UGUCCGACAAAGUAACCUAUACGGCGAAAUCAGCGCAAAGUGGAGAGAAGGAGCGCAUGACCUUCCUGCGGAAAAGCGGGUAAAUAGAUGUUCUGAUAGGUCUGAGCGGACGCUGCUUGCAUGGUAGCGGUUGGUGGUAAUCCGCUAUUUCAUGCUCAGUGACCUUAUACGGCUAUAUGUAACCACCCGACAGCCGGACGGAGCAUUAG
This 209-nucleotide small RNA is filed under the name bovine gut metagenome. RNAcentral's name for it is "RT-2 RNA". It matches the Rfam family "RT-2 RNA". Rfam says of the family: Coriobacteriales (Actinobacteria), Clostridiales (Firmicutes). The record is from RNAcentral.